RNAcentral lists this transfer RNA (77 nucleotides) under Burkholderiaceae bacterium. Its description in RNAcentral is "tRNA-Pro". It matches the Rfam family "tRNA". Rfam says of the family: Transfer RNA (tRNA) molecules are approximately 80 nucleotides in length. Their secondary structure includes four short double-helical elements and three loops (D, anti-codon, and T loops). Lineage: Bacteria; Pseudomonadati; Pseudomonadota; Betaproteobacteria; Burkholderiales; Burkholderiaceae. The record is from RNAcentral.
CGGAGCGUAGCGCAGCCUGGUAGCGCAUCUGCUUUGGGAGCAGAGGGUCGCGAGUUCAAAUCCCGCCGCUCCGACCA